CAAAUCAUGCAGGAGUUCAACAGGUGUUCAGCCAUUUUGAGCAACGAGGGAACGGACCAAUCCGCUAGCGACUCUAGCGAGCUAUCGCGAAGCUGUCAUACUUUCCCAAACAAACAAAACAAAAGAGAUGCCUGCCUAACCAGUCAUCUAACCAGUUGGCAAGUGAAAUUUCGGUGGAGCGACCGUGUACUACCCCGGCUCUUUUAAUUAUUGUUGGCACUUUCAAAACUUGAUUAUGAUCGUUGUACAUAAGUAAUUGCUCUGUCGCGACGGAUUUUUCGAAUAUUUCGUAAUUAAAUAAUCGAGUGUCGAGUGUUAAGUGUGUUCUGUUCAAGUUUCGGUCACCCAGUGAAUUGCACCGUGCACACCCUCGAGAUAUAAUCUUUUAGUGAAGUGUUAUUCACCUGUUCAUUUCAGUCUUCGAAGGAUUACAAGAACUCUAUGGAUAUACAUCACUACCAGUCGUAUUGGUUUAAAUCAGGACAGGUAGUGAUGAGCUGCUAUGCGCGGUAGCGCUGACCUGAUUUCCCGGUCUCAAAAUGGUUAUCGUAACCAGAGGAGACUACAUCUGGAUCGAGCCGGUCUCCGGUCGAGAGUUCGACGUCGCCAUCGGGGCGCGCGUUAUCUCUGCAGAGGGCCGACGGAUCCAAGUCAAAGACGACGAUGGCAAGGUAAAACAUCCACCCUAUUCAUUCAUUCAUUCAUCUCCACGUCCCUCCGUCCUCUUUUUCAUUUCACACCUGGUAGGUAGGUCAACAAUUAAAUGCUGAAGUCAUGGAAGGGAAAGCUUUCACCAUUGCCAAAAUACCAGUGGAGGGUCUCUUGUCUCUGCACCAGUAUCUUGGCCAUGGUGGAAGCUUUUACUUUCGGGACUUCAGCAUUCUACUGUUGACUUACCUACAUGGUUGAUGUUGAACAACUUGUUGGUAGUUUCGUUUUCCAAACAAGCCGAAAAUGGCCGACGUUUGGGAAACUCGUUUGGCUCAUGGCGUCAUCCGAAGCUCAUAAUCCACCAUGUAGGUAGGUCAACAGCCGAAAAAAGAGUGAUAACUGUUGCUCCCUAAUAAUUGUCCAUAAGGAAUUAUCGAAACCCCGAAAGUAAAAGCUUCCACCUGUCGCCAAGAUGCCAGUGGAGGGUCUCUUGUCUCUGGUCUCUUGUCUCCGACUCCACCCUAGACAAACGGAACUCAUCGAUUUUAGUGAGAACUGCGCUUAAAAAUUGAAGACUCUCGGUCCUCAGUCCACACCGGGGCAUUUCCUCGAGCUCCGGUGCCGGGCGCGUUGGCGGAAGCGCCAAGGAGCUGAACUUUCUCCCCCGAAACGCUCCAAAAGUGGAGAGCUCUCGCUUUUUCACAGCGUCCGCCGUCCGCGCUGGCAUUCCCACAAGCGGCGCGGCGAGGCGGCUGCCCUGGCUCCCGUUGAGCAUGCGACCCGACCGCAGAGCUUGGCAAUUUCCUCGGCUCUGACGAGAGCUGUCAUUACUGUCGUGCGUCAUACACGUAAAUAUGUCGUAAUUGUCUGCGAUAAUCGCGUGUCGCAGCCGGGAUUUUUCUCCCGCC
RNAcentral lists this long non-coding RNA (1559 nucleotides) under Bemisia tabaci. RNAcentral's name for it is "lncRNA ENSSSA1UGG010698". Lineage: Eukaryota; Metazoa; Arthropoda; Insecta; Hemiptera; Aleyrodidae. The record is from RNAcentral.